RNAcentral lists this ribosomal RNA (301 nucleotides) under uncultured bacterium. RNAcentral's name for it is "partial 16S ribosomal RNA". It matches the Rfam family "Bacterial small subunit ribosomal RNA", at positions 509 to 809 of the family's 1533-position model. The record is from RNAcentral.
CAGUAGCCGCGGUAAUACGAAGGGGGCUAGCGUUGUUCGGAAUCACUGGGCGUAAAGCGCACGUAGGCGGACUUUUAAGUCAGAGGUGAAAUCCCAAGGCUCAACCUUGGAACUGCCUUUGAUACUGGGAGUCUUGAGUUCGGGAGAGGUGAGUGGAACUGCGAGUGUAGAGGUGAAAUUCGUAGAUAUUCGCAAGAACACCAGUGGCGAAGGCGGCUCACUGGCCCGAUACUGACGCUGAGGUGCGAAAGCGUGGGGAGCAAACAGGAUUAGAUACCCGUGUAGUCCCUGUCUCUUAUAU